Molecule: ribosomal RNA, 626 nt
Filed under: uncultured bacterium
Lineage: Bacteria
Description: bacterial SSU rRNA
Rfam family: Bacterial small subunit ribosomal RNA
Source: RNAcentral
AACCACCUGGGGAGUACGAUCGCAAGGUUGAAACUCAAAGGAAUUGACGGGGGCCCGCACAAGCGGAGGAACAUGUGGUUUAAUUCGAUGAUACGCAAGGAACCUUACCUGGGCUUAAAUGUAGAUUGCAUAUCUUAGAGAUAGGAUUUUCCUUCGGGACUAUCUACAAGGUGCUGCAUGGUUGUCGUCAGCUCGUGCCGUGAGGUGUCGGGUUAAGUCCCAUAACGAGCGCAACCCCUAUCGUUAGUUGCUAGCAGGUAAUGCUGAGGACUCUAGCGAGACUGCCACCGUAAGGUGCGAGGAAGGUGGGGAUGACGUCAAAUCAGCACGGCCCUUAUGUCCAGGGCUACACACGUGUUACAAUGGCAGGUACAAAGGGCAGCUACACAGCGGUGUGAUGCUAAUCUCUAAAGCCUGUCCCAGUUCGGAUUGGAGUCUGCAACCCGACUCCAUGAAGUUGGAUUCGCUAGUAAUCGGAUAUCAGCCAUGAUCCGGUGAAUACGUUCCCGGGCCUUGUACACACCGCCCGUCAAACCAUGGAAGCUGGGGGUGCCUGAAGUCUGUGACCGCAAGGAGCGGCCUAGGGUAAAACUAGUAACUAGGGUUAAGUCGUAACAAGGUAGCCG